AGCCCGCACUUGAUUAGUUUGUUGGGAGGGUAAUGGCCUACCAAGACUAUGAUCAAUAGCUGAUUUGAGAGGAUGAUCAGCCACAUUGGGACUGAGACACGGCCCAAACUCCUACGGGAGGCAGCAGUGGGGAAUCUUGCACAAUGGAGGAAACUCUGAUGCAGCGAUGCCGCGUGAGUGAAGAAGGCCUUUGGGUUGUAAAGCUCUUUCGUCGGGGAAGAAAAUGACUGUACCCGAAUAAGAAGGUCCGGCUAACUUCGUGCCAGCCGCCGCGGUAAUUCA
RNAcentral lists this ribosomal RNA (282 nucleotides) under SAR11 cluster bacterium enrichment culture clone PSHTC-029. RNAcentral describes it as "partial 16S ribosomal RNA". It matches the Rfam family "Bacterial small subunit ribosomal RNA", at positions 228 to 527 of the family's 1533-position model. Lineage: Bacteria; Pseudomonadati; Pseudomonadota; Alphaproteobacteria; Candidatus Pelagibacterales. The record is from RNAcentral.